RNAcentral lists this ribosomal RNA (115 nucleotides) under Escherichia coli. Lineage: Bacteria; Pseudomonadati; Pseudomonadota; Gammaproteobacteria; Enterobacterales; Enterobacteriaceae. The record is from RNAcentral.
UGGCGGCCUUAGCGCGGUGGUCCCACCUGACCCCAUGCCGAACUCAGAAGUGAAACGCCGUAGCGCCGAUGAUAGUGUGGGGUCUCCCCAUGCGAGAGUAGGGAACUGCCAGGCA